This 278-nucleotide unclassified non-coding RNA is filed under the name uncultured fungus. Its description in RNAcentral is "partial contains small subunit ribosomal RNA, internal transcribed spacer 1, and 5.8S ribosomal RNA". The stretch from base 1 to 73 matches the Rfam family "Eukaryotic small subunit ribosomal RNA", at positions 1759 to 1831 of the family's 1831-position model. Lineage: Eukaryota; Fungi. The record is from RNAcentral.
UCAAACUUGGUCAUUUAGAGGAAGUAAAAGUCGUAACAAGGUCUCCGUAGGUGAACCUGCGGAGGGAUCAUUACCAGAGUGGACCGGCCCUCGCGGCUGGAACCUCCCAACCCCAUGUCGUUUCGACUCUGUUGCCUCGGGGGCGACCCGGCCUUCGGGCGUCGGGGCCCCCGGCGGACCCCUCAAACUCUGCAUGCUUUGCGUCUGAGUACAGAUAUAAAUCAAUCAAAACUUUCAACAACGGAUCUCUUGGUUCUGGCAUCGAUGAAGAACGCAGC